Molecule: non-coding RNA, 761 nt
Organism: Tetranychus urticae (two-spotted spider mite)
Lineage: Eukaryota; Metazoa; Arthropoda; Arachnida; Trombidiformes; Tetranychidae
Source: RefSeq, a predicted model, not a curated record
UAUACAUUUCCUCUCGAGUAAUAAAACCAUCAUUAUCAACAUCAUACAGUUUAAAAGCCCCUGCAAAAUUAAGUUACCAUAAUGUCUAUUCAAUGGCGGUGGUUACUGGUUUUUUAUCAUGUUUUUUUGCUUUACUAGUUUCUCUUCAAGAUUACCACGAGAUGUCACAGAAAGUGCUUUGAUAAACUCUUCAAAUUCAAUUGAUCCAUCCUGGGAAUUGGUGUUCAUAAUGACAAAAAAAGGAAACGUGAAAAAAACAAGAGUUAACGAAAAUGGAUAAUCAGGAAACAAAAUCUUCUUCAACAUUGUGUUUUACGAGAAAAUUCAGUGAAUAUUAUGAAUUAUUAUGAAAGCUGGAGAUGAAGUCGAUGUUAAAGGUGGUGAAUGUCUGCUGAUGACUUGUUAUAAUCAUGAGGGAAGAUAGACUUGUCAUCUUUUUACCUUUCAACUUGAACUGAAUCAACUUAUUCACUAAUGGACCUGAUGAAACUGCCUUUGUUGAUACUCAUUCCCUGAUGGAUUUCAAUUUAAUUGACCUGUAAACUGGUUGUAUUUUUUGAAGUAACAAUCAUAAUAAUGACGCUGAUUUAGGUCUAAAGUAGAGUCGGGGUCAAUUGUUCAUUUAUAAUGAAUGUGUGAUAAAAAAGUCUAGGAACUAAAAAUUGUUGAUCAGCAAUUAAAAAAAUAUCGAAAUUAAUUUAUUCUGUUAAUGUGUUUUUAUGCACUUCCAUUGACGAUUAAUUGAUUACUUUGAUUUUUUA